CAUUCGUAUGCUGAUAAGAGUUUGCUUAUCGUUAAAGUAGCAUUCGAUUCAACGAAUUUAUUUAAUAAUGUCGUACCUUAGUAUCGAUUGCUUGUAGGCAGCUGGGCAGCUAGGCAGCUGCUCGGUUGCACGGCGAAGCCCACUGUUUGACCCGCAUGCUACAGUAGCUACUCGCCAUGGGCAACCAGCAUAAAAGUCAGUCGCUUGCCCACCGGUAGCCAAAUGUCAACCCUACUAUCUACUGCACCCUAAAAACUUGCCAAAAAACGAACUCGACCCUUCACAGUUUCUAGUUCGCAUAGUCAAGCGUGAGAAAGUUAAGGAGAUCUCGAAGUUUGCUCCGAGGAUAACUAAUUCGUGUAAAUCUUGACUGAUUUAUAGGCACUGUGAAACGAUAUCAACUGGUUGCUCGAGUUCCCAGCUCCCAGUUCCCAGUUCUCAGGCACCCCAACUGCUCAUAGAUCUUGUGCGUGUGCAUGUCUUGUGGUGGUGGUGGCAUUUACCCACCACCAGCACAACCACUUAACGACUCGAGGGAUCUCGAAUACCAGCAUAAACAUUACCAUUUCAAUGCAUUCCCCUAUAUAGCAUACACACACAUGUGUAUUUCUUGAACCCUCCUCCGUUGUUAUGACCUAACGGCACGCAGGCCAUCGGCAAAACGGGGCACGCCUGCGUGCGAAAGUAUUUUCAAUUGUUGAGCGGAACCUUUAUUGCAUUUCGUGGUGGUUGUUUACUUCAGCUCAGCUAUAAAUACUCGCACAGAUCCAUGCGGCGGCACAGUUCUCUCUGGAGUUUUACAAAGUGAAGAACAAAAGUUUUAAAUCGAAAAAAAAAGUUCUUUUAUACAGUGAAUUAACGCUGGGCCGCCACCAUCUGUUGGUGGCGGCUAACCCAAGUUGAGUGUCUCUAAAGUACAGUUUAAAACUAAACCAGUUUGAGAUGCCCUUCCAAGUACAGUUAAACACUAGUUGCAUGUGAUCGCAAAUACUCUGCGCGAAAUUAAAGGCGAUUGAAGAAGAGAUAAUCAAUAUGAAGAAAUUCUUUAACAAUGUUGACAAUACAAAUUUGUAGAAUUUAUACAAAAAGAUCGCCGCAAAGAAAAUGCAAGAAAAUUAAACAAAUAAUCAAGAAACCCCAUUAGACAAAUGUAUAAGUCUUCUGCGAGAUAUAAAAAAAUUUGGAAUUUACUACAUAAUCCCUGGAAAUGAAUGAAAAAAUAUUACAAAUUUAAACAAAUUGUUGAUCAAAAGAUAGCAAAGAAAUGUCUGGACCAUAUAAAAGAAUUUCUUCAACAAGACCAAUAAAACUGUUCAACAUACUAACGCUGCAAAAGCAAUGCAAAUAAUAAUAUACAAGAAUAUAUAAUAUAUACUUAUAUAUAUUUAUACAUAAUACAAAUAUUCAACAAAUUACAACAAAAACUAAGAAAAGACCAUUUUUAUCAGAAAUUUCCGGAAUAUUCUACAACAUAUCUGAAUUUUUAAAAAUAAAAAAAUAAAUAUACACAUACAACCACAAUCAAGAAUCUUCAGGAAUCUUCAGGAAAAUACCGAAAAUAAAAUAUAUAAACAAAUAAUCAACUAAAAUCUCCACAACUUACUACAAUUUUCGGAAACUGAAAAUUCAGAUAGUUCACAAACGGAUCACUUCAAUAUAAAUGGAAUUUCAUCUACUUACAAACUAACGUAGCGCAAGCUACAACCAGAAAAACCAUCUUUAAAGAUUAAACAUCGCAUCUGGAGAAUUGCUGGCAAUGAAGCUUGGAUCAUUUACUUGUUGCUUAUAUCCACCAUAACCAACAUUAAUCAUCUUUAAAAAAAAACUAUAUCUUAAAUAUACAUUUUAAUCAGAGAGAGGCAUUACGACAAUAUCUUCCACUUGCACUUCAA
This is a long non-coding RNA of Drosophila mojavensis, 1892 nucleotides long. RefSeq lists it as uncharacterized. The record is from RefSeq and is a predicted model, not a curated record. Lineage: Eukaryota; Metazoa; Arthropoda; Insecta; Diptera; Drosophilidae. The transcript is spliced from 2 exons.